This 77-nucleotide ribosomal RNA is filed under the name Staphylococcus aureus. RNAcentral describes it as "partial 16S ribosomal RNA". It matches the Rfam family "Bacterial small subunit ribosomal RNA", at positions 1 to 76 of the family's 1533-position model. The record is from RNAcentral. Lineage: Bacteria; Bacillati; Bacillota; Bacilli; Caryophanales; Staphylococcaceae.
UUUUAUGGAGAGUUUGAUCCUGGCUCAGGAUGAACGCUGGCGGCGUGCCUAAUACAUGCAAGUCGAGCGAACGGACG